GAUGAACGCUGACAGAAUGCUUAACACAUGCAAGUCAACUUGGUGGCGGACGGGUGAGUAACGCGUAAAGAACUUGCCUCACAGGUAGGGACAACAUUUGGAAACGAAUGCUAAUACCUAAUACUGUGAGAGAGCUUUGCGUCCCAUUAGCUCGUUGGAGAGGUAACGGCUCACCAAGGCGAUGAUGGGUAGCCGGCCUGAGAGGGUGAUCGGCCACAAGGGGACACAGUCACGGGCCAUACUCCUCCGGGAGGAAGUGGUGAGGAAUAUGCGACGAUGGUCCACGGACUGUUCGAGUGCUUAUGUAGGCCGGAUGAAGUUUUCUGGAAUGUAGAGUGCUUUCAGCAGCGACGGUACCUGCAGAAGAUGUGACGACUAAAUACGUGCUAGCAGCCGCGGUAAUUC
RNAcentral lists this ribosomal RNA (405 nucleotides) under uncultured bacterium. Its description in RNAcentral is "partial 16S ribosomal RNA". It matches the Rfam family "Bacterial small subunit ribosomal RNA", at positions 28 to 526 of the family's 1533-position model. The record is from RNAcentral.